Molecule: transfer RNA, 61 nt
Filed under: Ciidae sp. GENSP01
Lineage: Eukaryota; Metazoa; Arthropoda; Insecta; Coleoptera; Ciidae
Description: tRNA-Cys
Source: RNAcentral
GGUUUAAUAGUCAAUUAUGAUUUUAAAUUGCAAAUUUAAAGGUGAGUAAGUUCUUAAGCCU